This 559-nucleotide ribosomal RNA is filed under the name uncultured bacterium. Its description in RNAcentral is "bacterial SSU rRNA". It matches the Rfam family "Archaeal small subunit ribosomal RNA", at positions 723 to 1280 of the family's 1478-position model. The record is from RNAcentral.
ACCCAAUAGAUACCCGGGUAGUCCCAGCUGUAAACGACGCAGACUCGGUGAUGGGUUGGCUUUGCGCCAAACCCAGUGCCGCAGGGAAGCCGUUAAGUCUGCCGCCUGGGGAGUACGGUCGCGAGACUGAAACUUAAAGGAAUUGGCGGGGGAGCACCAUAAGGGGUGAAGCCUGCGGUUCAAUUGGAGUCAACGCCGGGAAUCUUACCGGGGGCGACAGCAGUGUGAAGGUCAAGCUGAAGACUUUACCAGACAAGCUGAGAGGAGGUGCAUGGCCGUCGCCAGCUCGUGCCGUGAGGUGUCCUGUUAAGUCAGGUAACGAGCAAGAUCCCUGCCUCUAGUUGCUACCACUGUUCUCAGGAACGGAGGGGCUAAUUAGAGGGACCGCCGCCGCUGAGGCGGAGGAAGGAGGGGGCUACGGCAGGUCAGUAUGCCCCGAAACCCUCGGGCCACACGCGGGCUGCAAUGGUAAGGACAACGGGUCCCGAUCCCGAAAGGGGAGGCAAUCCCACAAACCUUACCUCAGUUAUGAUUGAGGGCUGAAACUCGCCCUCAUGAA